Non-coding RNA from Pelobates cultripes (western spadefoot toad), 97 nucleotides. Lineage: Eukaryota; Metazoa; Chordata; Amphibia; Anura; Pelobatidae. The record is from the annotation of a GenBank genome assembly.
CUCCCCCUGACCCCCACCCCUGAGUGGUGGGUGGGGGCCCUAAAUUGAAAUACUGUAGGGCCCCCACCCACCGCUCAGGGGUGGGGGCCAGGGGGAG